AACGAACGCUGGCGGCAGGCCUAACACAUGCAAGUCGAGCGGACAUCUUCGGAUGUUAGCGGCGGACGGGUGAGUAACGCGUGGGAACGUGCCCUUUGCUUCGGAAUAGCCUCUGGAAACUGGGAGUAAUACCGGAUGUACCCUUUGGGGGAAAGAUUUAUCGGCAAAGGAUCGGCCCGCGUUGGGUUAUGUAGUUGGUGGGGUAAUGGCCUACCAAGCCGACGAUACAUAGCUGGUGUGAGAGGAUGAUCAGCCACACUGUGACUGAGACACGGCCCAGACUCCUACGGGAGGCAGGAGUGGGGAAUCUUAGACAAUGGGGGAGACCCUGAUCUAGCCAUGCCGCGUGAGCGAUGAAGGCCUUAGGGUUGUAAAGCUCGUUCACCGGGGAAGAUAAUGACGGUACCCGGAGAAGAAGCCCCGGCUAACUCCGUG
Molecule: ribosomal RNA, 435 nt
Filed under: uncultured bacterium
Lineage: Bacteria
Description: partial 16S ribosomal RNA
Rfam family: Bacterial small subunit ribosomal RNA
Source: RNAcentral